CUCCCUGCAUGUGACUUGCACAGCCUUCCAUAAACACUUCCUGUAAAGAGAGCCCUAUUUAGGCUUUUAUUGCAAGUUCUGUUUAAUUCAGAUUUUCUUAUCCCCUGCUAUGUUAAUAGCUUGCUAGACCCUGCAAGAGCCUCCUGUAUGUGAUUAAAGUUCACUUUAGAGAUUGAGAUGCAAUUUAUCUUAAAUAAUUGUAUCUGUUCG
Molecule: long non-coding RNA, 210 nt
Filed under: Pelobates cultripes (western spadefoot toad)
Lineage: Eukaryota; Metazoa; Chordata; Amphibia; Anura; Pelobatidae
Source: RNAcentral